RNAcentral lists this transfer RNA (72 nucleotides) under Callorhinchus milii (elephant shark). Its description in RNAcentral is "tRNA-His (GTG) (tRNA-His-GTG-16-1)". It matches the Rfam family "tRNA". Rfam says of the family: Transfer RNA (tRNA) molecules are approximately 80 nucleotides in length. Their secondary structure includes four short double-helical elements and three loops (D, anti-codon, and T loops). The record is from Rfam by way of RNAcentral. Lineage: Eukaryota; Metazoa; Chordata; Chondrichthyes; Chimaeriformes; Callorhinchidae.
GCCGUGAUAGUACAGUCGUUAGUAUUCUGUAUUGUGGCCGCAGUAACCUCGGUUCGAAUCCGAGUCACGGCA